UUUACAAUGCAUAUUGCCGAAGACAGUAGGUGCCGUAAGGCGUAAACGUAGAACCUACCGAGGGAAUUUUCGAGAUUUAUCUUGAAUUUUGACUUGUACCCUUCUGUCGUCAGGCAGGAGGGUUUCUUUGAUUUA
This 135-nucleotide small RNA is filed under the name uncultured Agathobacter sp. Its description in RNAcentral is "Ribosomal protein L10 leader". It matches the Rfam family "Ribosomal protein L10 leader". Rfam says of the family: This family is a putative r-protein leader autoregulatory structure found in B. subtilis and other low-GC Gram-positive bacteria. It is located in the 5' untranslated regions of mRNAs encoding ribosomal proteins L10 and L12 (rplJ-rplL). A Rho-independent transcription terminator structure that is probably involved in regulation is included at the 3' end. The record is from RNAcentral. Lineage: Bacteria; Bacillati; Bacillota; Clostridia; Lachnospirales; Lachnospiraceae.